RNAcentral lists this ribosomal RNA (468 nucleotides) under uncultured bacterium. RNAcentral's name for it is "partial 16S ribosomal RNA". It matches the Rfam family "Bacterial small subunit ribosomal RNA", at positions 28 to 507 of the family's 1533-position model. The record is from RNAcentral.
GACGAACGCUGGCGGCGUGCUUAACACAUGCAAGUCGAACGGAAAGGCCCUGCUUUUGUGGGGUGCUCGAGUGGCGAACGGGUGAGUAACACGUGAGUAACCUGCCCUUGACUUUGGGAUAACUUCAGGAAACUGGGGCUAAUACCGGAUAGGAGCUCCUGCUGCAUGGUGGGGGUUGGAAAGUUUCGGCGUUUGGGGAUGGACUCGCGGCUUAUCAGCUUGUUGGUGGGGUAGUGGCUUACCAAGGCUUUGACGGGUAGCCGGCCUGAGAGGGUUACCGGCCACAUUGGGACUGAGAUACGGCCCAGACUCCUACGGGAGGCAGCAGUGGGGAAUAUUGCACAAUGGGCGGAAGCCUGAUGCAGCAACGCCGCGUGCGGGAUGACGGCCUUCGGGUUGUAAACCGCUUUCGCCUGUGACGAAGCGUGAGUGACGGUAAUGGGUAAAGAAGCACCGGCUAACUACGUG